RNAcentral lists this ribosomal RNA (393 nucleotides) under uncultured bacterium. RNAcentral's name for it is "partial 16S ribosomal RNA". It matches the Rfam family "Bacterial small subunit ribosomal RNA", at positions 523 to 918 of the family's 1533-position model. The record is from RNAcentral.
AUACGGAGGAUGCGAGCGUUAUCCGGAUUUAUUGGGUUUAAAGGGUGCGUAGGCUGUGCGUUAAGUCAGGGGUGAAAUGCCGUCGCUCAACGACGGAGCUGCCCUUGAUACUGGCGUGCUGGAGUACGGAUGCCGUUGGAGGAAUGAGUGGUGUAGCGGUGAAAUGCUUAGAUAUCACUCAGAACACCGAUUGCGAAGGCAUCUGACGAAUCCGUCACUGUCGCUGAGGCACGAAAGCGUGGGGAUAGAACAGAGUUAAAUUCCCUGGUUUUCCACGCCGUAAACGAUGAUGACUAACCGUCGGCGAUAGACAGCCGGUGGCCAAGCGAAAGCGAUAAGUCAUCCACCUGGGGAGUACGUCGGCAACGAUGAAACUCAAAUGAAUUGGCGGGU